CGCGAAGGUCUAUCAGAAUACACCUAGACCUAGGCUAAAGGCAACCAAAAUCGAUAAAUACCUAAAGAUAAACACCGCUAAGGUUAAAAAUAGUCCGUUUUUGCCUGAAGACAAUACAAGUUCAGACAGUUGUAUGUCAAAAACUACAACAGUUUCAACUAGUACAUCCACCAGCAGCGGUUCUCCAGAGAUGGUUCCUAGAUAUGGACGUAAAAAUGUCGUAGAUAAAAAAGUUAAACUUGGAACUAAUCUAUGGAAUAAAGAAAAGGG
Molecule: long non-coding RNA, 270 nt
Organism: Manduca sexta (tobacco hornworm)
Lineage: Eukaryota; Metazoa; Arthropoda; Insecta; Lepidoptera; Sphingidae
Exons: 2
Source: RefSeq, a predicted model, not a curated record